UCUAGAACUCGAGAUAUGGGCUGAACACUGAACAGUGUCUGGGCUAUAGGACAGAUUCUGACUUCUCGUUUCUUGCUACAAGAAAGUUUUAGGCCUAUGUCUUAGCUUUCCAUC
Molecule: non-coding RNA, 114 nt
Organism: Populus trichocarpa (black cottonwood)
Lineage: Eukaryota; Viridiplantae; Streptophyta; Magnoliopsida; Malpighiales; Salicaceae
Source: Rfam